Long non-coding RNA from Chinchilla lanigera (long-tailed chinchilla), 1282 nucleotides. RefSeq lists it as uncharacterized. The transcript is spliced from 4 exons. The record is from RefSeq and is a predicted model, not a curated record. Lineage: Eukaryota; Metazoa; Chordata; Mammalia; Rodentia; Chinchillidae.
CUAGUCUUCUGCGCUCGUGGAGCCUCCACGCGUGCACAUCAGUCCUCCUUCACAACCGUGUACUCAAUUCGCCUCCUCGCUGAAGCCGAGCCGCCUGACUCCGCCUCCUGCGACUCUGUGUUCCGGGGCGCUUCGGAGACGGAGCAUGUGGUUUGUUAAAUCCUCAGCAACAUAAUCAUGGAACAUUUAGGGCAAAGCGAGGAAGCUCCUGACAAGGUCAUGCAACAUCCAGAGACCUCAAGUUCCUGCCUUCAAAGAAAUAAAAAUAAAGGUGUUCAACAUGCAGCAACAAUAACUUGAACUCCUGCAAUGUACAGAUUUCCUUAUUAAGAGCUGUGAUGACGGGGUGUAGCUCUGGAAGUAAAGCCAUCACUCAUCUUAUUCCUACUUGAGGGGGAUCUCUCAAGGUGUGAAAUAUUGGUGGGACACAGCACCCAGCUUCAUCCACAGAAGUGGAAGGAUACAUCUCCUGCUUCCCCUCCCUCUCUUGGGACUGUGAAUCCAGAACAACUGACAGACAGUUUGACAGGAAUGGUUAGUAUCUAGUUGCAGUUUCGAUAAUACAUAGCCUUGGGCAGGGUGUCUCACAGACUACUCCAGCUAGAAGAAGGUGAUGUGCUUCUUGGUGGUUCCUAGGACCCCUUCGGUGCAGGUCAUCUUCCAAUCUUGGCCAUCCAGUUUCCCUUUGAUUCCAGAAGCCCCUUCACCUAUGACAUCCUUUCAUUAAAUUAUUUGGGGGAUUUUUUGUUUGAUUAGAUUAUCAGUUUGUUUCUGCUGUUUGCAAUCAAUAACCUUGAUAAUUCAGAGAAGGCGAAAGGGAGAAUUACAGAGAAAAAGUUCUGGAAUACCCACUAGACCUCAACCAAGCAGAAACCAAAUAUCUCUUUUACCUAAUAAAAUACAAAACCAUUGACAUGAAACCUUGGAGUCCCAUGACUUAGGAUCGGGGUAAAGAAAGUAUGUUCAGCAAAUAUCUAGUUCAUUCCAGGUGCACAGGCUGUGAUCUUAUCUUCAAAGACUUUCCCCACAGGGCUGACUUGGGUGGGUGGGCACUGAGUUUUGUUUUUCCUUUCUCUUGUCAGUAAUGGUUUGCAGAGAGCAGAGAGAGUGGAAUUGGUUCUUUGGGUAUGAGAAGUGGGGCAAAGGCAGAGUCAGCCAGGACUUGAACCUUCUUCAGUGUGACCCAGAGAUUAGGCAACUUUCCAAACCCUAGUACAGUUUUUUUAAACUUUCCCUUUCCCUUGGGGUGUGGGACAUGCUUGAAAAUUCUUACUCAACAGUA